RNAcentral lists this ribosomal RNA (253 nucleotides) under uncultured bacterium. Its description in RNAcentral is "partial 16S ribosomal RNA". It matches the Rfam family "Bacterial small subunit ribosomal RNA", at positions 524 to 776 of the family's 1533-position model. The record is from RNAcentral.
UACAGAGGUCCCAAGCGUUGUUCGGAUUCACUGGGCGUAAAGGGUGCGUAGGUGGUCAGGUAAGUUCGGUGUGAAAGCUCGGAGCUUAACUCCGAAAUGGCAUUGAAUACUAUCUGGCUAGAGGGUCGGAGGGGAGACUGGAAUUCUCGGUGUAGCAGUGAAAUGCGUAGAUAUCGAGAGGAACACCAGUGGCGAAGGCGAGUCUCUGGACGACUCCUGACACUGAGGCACGAAAGCCAGGGGAGCAAACAGG